GAUGAACGCUGGCGGCGUGCCUAAUACAUGCAAGUCGAGCGAACAGACGAGGAGCUUGCUCCUCUGACGUUAGCGGCGGACGGGUGAGUAACACGUGGAUAACCUACCUAUAAGACUGGGAUAACUUCGGGAAACCGGAGCUAAUACCGGAUAAUAUAUUGAACCGCAUGGUUCAAUAGUGAAAGACGGUUUUGCUGUCACUUAUAGAUGGAUCCGCGCCGCAUUAGCUAGUUGGUAAGGUAACGGCUUACCAAGGCAACGAUGCGUAGCCGACCUGAGAGGGGGAUCGGCCACACUGGAACUGAGACACGGUUCAGACUCCUACGGGAGGCAGCAGUAGGGAAUCUUCCGCAAUGGGCGAAAGCCUGACGGAGCAACGCCGCGUGAGUGAUGAAGGUCUUCGGAUCGUAAAACUCUGUUAUUAGGGAAGAACAAAUGUGUAAGUAACUAUGCACGUCUUGACGGUACCUAAUCAGAAAGCCACGGCUAACUACGUG
RNAcentral lists this ribosomal RNA (497 nucleotides) under uncultured bacterium. Its description in RNAcentral is "partial 16S ribosomal RNA". It matches the Rfam family "Bacterial small subunit ribosomal RNA", at positions 28 to 507 of the family's 1533-position model. The record is from RNAcentral.